GCUUGCUCCUUGAUUCAGCGGCGGACGGGUGAGUAAUACCUAGGAAUCUGCCUGAUAGUGGGGGACAACGUUUCGAAAGGAACGCUAAUACCGCAUACGUCCUACGGGAGAAAGCAGGGGACCUUCGGGCCUUGCGCUAUCAGAUGAGCCUAGGUCGGAUUAGCUAGUUGGUGAGGUAAUGGCUCACCAAGGCGACGAUCCGUAACUGGUCUGAGAGGAUGAUCAGUCACACUGGAACUGAGACACGGUCCAGACUCCUACGGGAGGCAGCAGUGGGGAAUAUUGGACAAUGGGCGAAAGCCUGAUCCAGCCAUGCCGCGUGUGUGAAGAAGGUCUUCGGAUUGUAAAGCACUUUAAGUUGGGAGGAAGGGCAGUAAGCUAAUACCUUGCUGUUUUGACGUUACCGACAGAAUAAGCACCGGCUAACUCUGUGCCAGCAGCCGCGGUAAUACAGAGGGUGCAAGCGUUAAUCGGAAUUACUGGGCGUAAAGCGCGCGUAGGUGGUUCGUUAAGUUGGAUGUGAAAUCCCCGGGCUCAACCUGGGAACUGCAUC
Molecule: ribosomal RNA, 553 nt
Filed under: Pseudomonas taiwanensis
Lineage: Bacteria; Pseudomonadati; Pseudomonadota; Gammaproteobacteria; Pseudomonadales; Pseudomonadaceae
Description: bacterial SSU rRNA
Rfam family: Bacterial small subunit ribosomal RNA
Source: RNAcentral